This 405-nucleotide ribosomal RNA is filed under the name uncultured bacterium. RNAcentral's name for it is "bacterial SSU rRNA". It matches the Rfam family "Bacterial small subunit ribosomal RNA", at positions 355 to 774 of the family's 1533-position model. The record is from RNAcentral.
UGGGGAAUAUUGCACAAUGGGGGAAACCCUGAUGCAGCAACGCCGCGUGAAGGAUGAAGGUUUUCGGAUUGUAAACUUCUUUAGUCAGGGACGAAAAAAAUGACGGUACCUGAAGAAUAAGCCACGGCUAACUACGUGCCAGCAGCCGCGGUAAUACGUAGGUGGCGAGCGUUGUCCGGAAUUACUGGGUGUAAAGGGCGUGUAGGCGGGAAUGUAAGUCAGAUGUGAAAUCCCAGGGCUUAACCCUGGAGCUGCAUCUGAAACUAUGUUUCUUGAGUGCCGGAGAGGAAAGCGGAAUUCCUAGUGUAGCGGUGAAAUGCGUAGAUAUUAGGAGGAACACCAGUGGCGAAGGCGGCUUUCUGGACGGUAACUGACGCUGAGGCGCGAAAGCGUGGGGAGCAAACA